RNAcentral lists this long non-coding RNA (289 nucleotides) under Elaeis guineensis (African oil palm). Its description in RNAcentral is "long non-coding RNA (EGUI_LNC018733)". Lineage: Eukaryota; Viridiplantae; Streptophyta; Magnoliopsida; Arecales; Arecaceae. The record is from RNAcentral.
GGUAAACUUGUGCAUAGGGAGAGAUGCAUUGCUCUCUUCCUCCUACUUCAUCAGAGGCAUAAUAAUCAGAGCAACUCCACUGUAUUGUGGACAACAUGGGUGGAUGACUGGGUGUUGUAUAUAAUGAUGGGUAGUCAAGCAAAUGUGGAACAUCAUGGUGAUACACAAGCGGAAAAAUUUGAAUGGAAAAGAUGUAAAAAGUUGGGAAAAUCUGUGAGGGUGGAAAAAAUAAUAUUUCAAAAAAUAGUGAGAUGCGGAAAAUCAGUGAAUCAGGUAACAGUUGAGGGGA